AACGAACGCUGGCGGCAGGCUUAACACAUGCAAGUCGAGCGCAUCCUUCGGGGUGAGCGGCGGACGGGUGAGUAACGCGUGGGAACGUGCCCUCUUCUACGGAAUAGCCUCGGGAAACUGAGAGUAAUGCCGUAUACGCCCGCAAGGGGAAAGAUUUAUCGGAGGAGGAUCGGCCCGCGUUGGAUUAGGUAGUUGGUGGAGUAACGGCCUACCAAGCCGACGAUCCAUAGCUGGUUUGAGAGGAUGAUCAGCCACACUGGGACUGAGACACGGCCCAGACUCCUACGGGAGGCAGCAGUAGGGAAUCUUGGACAAUGGGGGCAACCCUGAUCCAGCCAUGCCGCGUGAUCGAUGAAGGCCUUAGGGUUGUAAAGAUCUUUCAGCUGGGAAGAUAAUGACGGUACCAGCAGAAGAAGCCCCGGCUAACUCCGUG
RNAcentral lists this ribosomal RNA (433 nucleotides) under uncultured bacterium. RNAcentral describes it as "partial 16S ribosomal RNA". It matches the Rfam family "Bacterial small subunit ribosomal RNA", at positions 29 to 507 of the family's 1533-position model. The record is from RNAcentral.